CCCUUAGAUGUUCUGGGCCGCACGCGCGCUACACUGACGAAGUCAGCGAGCAUGUCCUACGCCGACAGGUGCGGGGAAUCUUGUCAAACUUCGUCGUGAUGGGGAUUGAUUAUUGAAAUUCUUGAUCGUCAACGAGGAAUUCCUAGUAAGCGCAAGUCAGCAGCUUGCGUUGAUUACGUCCCUGCCCUUUGUACACACCGCCCGUCGCUACUACCGAUUGAAUGGUUUAGUGAGAUCUUCGGAUUGGCGCCACUGCGGCUCAGCAAUGGGCUCGGUGGAUGCCGAAAAGUUGAUCAAACUUGAUCAUUUAGAGGAAGUAAAAGUCGUAACA
This 331-nucleotide ribosomal RNA is filed under the name uncultured eukaryote. RNAcentral's name for it is "partial 18S ribosomal RNA". It matches the Rfam family "Eukaryotic small subunit ribosomal RNA", at positions 1470 to 1796 of the family's 1831-position model. The record is from RNAcentral.